Cydia strobilella is the source of this 157-nucleotide long non-coding RNA. RefSeq lists it as uncharacterized. The record is from RefSeq and is a predicted model, not a curated record. NCBI's taxonomy places the organism in Eukaryota, Metazoa, Arthropoda, Insecta, Lepidoptera, Tortricidae. The transcript has 2 exons.
UAGUCGGUUGUGACCCUCCCUACGAAGCAAGAGAUCCCGGAUUCAAAUCCUGGUAAGGGCAUAAUAUUUUGCGAUGCGUACAAAUAUUUGUUCCUGAGUCAUGGGUGUUUUCUAUGUAUUUAAGUAUUUAUAAAUAUUUAUAUAUUAUAUAUAUAUA